RNAcentral lists this ribosomal RNA (477 nucleotides) under Frigoribacterium sp. o9. RNAcentral's name for it is "bacterial SSU rRNA". It matches the Rfam family "Bacterial small subunit ribosomal RNA", at positions 26 to 512 of the family's 1533-position model. The record is from RNAcentral. Lineage: Bacteria; Bacillati; Actinomycetota; Actinomycetes; Micrococcales; Microbacteriaceae.
AGGAUGAACGCUGGCGGCGUGCUUAACACAUGCAAGUCGAACGGUGAACUUGGGAGCUUGCUCUCGGGGGAUCAGUGGCGAACGGGUGAGUAACACGUGAGUAACCUGCCCUUGACUCUGGGAUAAGCACUGGAAACGGUGUCUAAUACCGGAUACGAGCUUCAGCCGCAUGGCUAGGAGCUGGAAAGAAUUUCGGUCAAGGAUGGACUCGCGGCCUAUCAGGUAGUUGGUGAGGUAAAGGCUCACCAAGCCGACGACGGGUAGCCGGCCUGAGAGGGUGACCGGCCACACUGGGACUGAGACACGGCCCAGACUCCUACGGGAGGCAGCAGUGGGGAAUAUUGCACAAUGGGCGCAAGCCUGAUGCAGCAACGCCGCGUGAGGGACGACGGCCUUCGGGUUGUAAACCUCUUUUAGUAGGGAAGAAGCGAAAGUGACGGUACCUGCAGAAAAAGCACCGGCUAACUACGUGCCAGC